Equus caballus (horse) is the source of this 10514-nucleotide non-coding RNA. The record is from RefSeq and is a predicted model, not a curated record. NCBI's taxonomy places the organism in Eukaryota, Metazoa, Chordata, Mammalia, Perissodactyla, Equidae.
UUCAUUAUGAGUGUGUUUUCUUUUGUGUGUUUGACCAUAGUUACAAUUGCUGCUUUAAAAUCCUUGUCUUCUAAUUCCAACAUCUUAGUUAUCUUGAAGUCAGUCUCCAUAGAUUUCUAUUCUUUUCAACCUUUUCUAUUAAAAAUGAGUCAUGUCAUAUGCAUGUCAAAUAAUUUGAAUUCUAUCCUGAAUGUUCUGAAUGUUAUAUUCUAGAGACUCUGGAUUCUGUUUUAGUCUUCCAAAGAGUAUUGAUUUUUUUUGUUUGUUUGUUUGUUUGAGUAGACAAUUAACUUGCUUGUGUUCAUACCGCACUCUCUGUUUCUUGGGAACAUCUCAAAUCUCCCUUCAGUUUUUAUCCUAAGCCAGCUGUUUGCAGUCAACACUGCACUUGUGUAUUCAGAGACUUCCACAAAAGUUUAUAUACAAAACUUGGACCUUACCCCUUUGGGUAUCCGUUUUCCAAGAGUCCCUCCUCGUUUUAUGAUGGCUAUGGUUGCCCUGAGCUCUGUUCUCUGAUUCUUCAGGCCAUAAACACAGCAGGUUUUCUGAUGGAGUGUUAGCUGCUCUGUGCUGCCUGACUUUGGCCUUCUCUUGGGCCAGAAGCCACAAAAAUGGGAAACUCAUCUUUGUCUUUCCUUCCUUUCAAGUGCCAACUAACCCUCCAGAAUAUGCCUGUCUUUGUUCACUCUCCAGUGGCUUCAGGUGGUUGUUUUUUGUACUUUUCACAGAGUUUGUUAUCUGCAAGAGGGUUAAUCUGGGAGGAGCUUUCUAAGCCAUACUGGAAGCUGAGCUCCUCCGGACUGGUUUUGGUAAUUUCUGUGCCAUGCAAAAACUCUGAUCCUAGAAAAACUUAGAGAAGCACAGACUGUAGACCACGAAGUCCCAUACAUAGCAUGGAAUGUGGGUUCACUUUUCUCACAGGUGAUUCCUUUUCCAUCUUUGGUCCACGAUCAGUGGCACAUUUCUGUUCAGUGUUUCUGGGCCAGCGAGGGCGGUAUUUCUAUUCCCCUUUUGCAAUGAGUUAAGUUCAAAUAUCUACACCUGUGAGGUCUGAAUCUUCCCAAAGGAGGUUAAAAUAUAAACCCCAUGAUGCAUAUCUAGUGGAAACCCUCUGUGGGCUCUUUGGCAUCAACUCCUAUGCAUUACUCUGCCUUGGAGUUCUUUCUCCAUUUCAAGCACUUGUGGUUGCCCUGCUCCAAUUUGGCUAAAGAUUAAAAUUUUUUUUUGUUCAAUUUUAUCCAGCAUUCCUAUGUAUUUGAACUGGCGGUGGGGUGUGAGGUUCCUGUGUCUGUUCAACUUGCUGCCUUCGCUGACAGGCAACUGCUACAACUCUUGCUGAUACAAGUAUCAGUUUGCUUAGCUGCCUCUGUCUGGGGUUGGGGAGGUGCUCAUUCAAGAGGAACCUCACCCCCCGAGUUACAGAUUCCUCUGCCCCAAAUCUUGGCGUAAGCUCCCAGGGCCUGAGACAAGGGGCGGUUGAGUAAUGCCACCCUGUGUUUGAUUUAAAGUCGUUCUGGACCAGAUACGCCGACCUGGUAUUCCAGGACUCCCCUGGGGCACCUUGCCUCUCUCCUGCUUCAGAAUGACUUUCUUCUCUCCAAGUUUAACCCCUCCCUUUUUAAUUUGGAGACGGACUUUGUCCUCUCUUGUUGCUAAAGCUUUACCCUUUGUGCCGGGAUCCAAGUGUCAGUCUGCAGUCUUUCUCCCAGAUCUGCCCACAAGCAGAUCUCCCUGAUGGUGGCAUGUUCUGUUGUGUGAGAAUUCCCCAGGCGGUAUAUAGGCUCCACCCAGCUCCAAUUUUGCCCUGUCCUUCCCCAUCCCUGUCCCUUCAUUUCCCUCAAGGUCCUGUUUUCUUCUAUAUACAAACAAAAACUAGUGACACAUUUUUUUAGGUGCCCUUUUUGUGGGCACAGCCCUGGCAGUAAUGAGAACCCAGCUGGUGCAAAGAACUUUCACAAAUUCUGCAAGUGGAGGGCUUUUUCUUUCCAUAUGGAUUGACUUUUGCUUCUUUGGAAGUCAAAGCUUUAUUUUUGUUCAGCUUCCUUCCACCAAUUUCUGUGGUAUUCCUUGCACAUGGAAAGAUGUGUAUCUGGAGUAUAAUGGUGCCAAGUUUCUUUGCACAUUUUCUGCACACUGUCCGUCUGCUGAAGGUUCCCUUAGCCAGAGAACCACAGCUUUUUCUAGAGUCAGGAUGAUUUCCUUUGGGCAGAUUCCCAGGAAUUGGACUACUGGGUCUCAGAGAAUGAACCAGGUAGAGUCUUGGAGUAUGUUGCCAAAGAGGCCAUGAGGGUCAUUGGGUUUUCUGUGCUCCGUCAGCUGUACCCCUUUGCAGAUGGAUAGGACUGGUCUGUCUGCACAAAAGCUCAUGGUGGGAGGGUCUGCCAGCCCUCAGGAGAAGACACAGUCACAUGCAUUCACUAUUGACUUUCAAAAUAUCUCCACCCAUGUUCUGACCCCACCCCUCAACAUGUUUGUUUGCAGUUGGAUAGUUUUGUUUCCCUCACUCUCUCUUAAUUAUGACUUAACUCCUAAAACUUGGGCAAACACUCCCAGUAUCAUAAGGGGCUGGCUGGCAGGACAGCCUGUGCCCCAUUAUGGUAUUUUACUCACCUUUCAGCCAGGAGCCAUCCUCCUUACCAGAGCCAUUGCCAUGGCAACCGUCCUCCUUUGGGCGAUAAGUAUGGGUGGCAAAGUCCACAUGCUUAAUAUGUUUGAUAUUUUACCUUUCAAAAAAUUCUUUGGGGAGAUUCAAGUUGGCUCAUUGAACAAAAUAAAUAAGCUUUUUAUUGUCAACAAGGGCUAAGGGCAGCAGCUCUGAUAACAGGGAAAGCCAGAACUGGUCAAAAACCUGAGACCAGAGUGAGCUGGUCACAUCCGGCUCCACUUGAGACAAGAAAGGAAUGGGAACGCUCUCAGUGGCUGUGGAAGCUGGCUCAGACCCCAGACAGCUUUGGGGAGCUCCAGCCUGAGAAUAGCGCUGAGAUGAAAGGAGCCUCAGCCCGAACCCAAUCUCAGGGACAUUUGGCUGCCACUGCUGGAGGGGUCAGGGGUUUCCCCUGCAAACAGUGUCCUCUGGGGGCCCUGGCCCUUUCCUGCCCUUUUGGGUGGCAUCACACCACAGUUCUCUUUAGCCUGGAAGCCCUUAGAAGUGCACACAUGUCACGCAGCAUACUGAGAGCUUUGUAGAGGCUGAAUGUGUCAGCUCAGACAGGGACCAGCUAGCCUGAUAGCCUCCCCCAAACCUGCCAUCUGCCUGCCCACCAUUUACAAUACAUUUGCUUUUGCUUGACAUUUUUUUUUACCUUAAGAAUUAAAGAUUGAAGUUUUACAGUAUAUUCUUUUAAGUAAUAUGCUUCUUGGCUUCAUACUUUAAGGAUAUUUCCUCCCUCCCUCCUUCCCUUCCUUCCUUCCUUUGCAUGUAUGUAUGUAUUCUGCCUGUUUACUGGGAUUCACUGUGGUGUAGUGGAAAGAGUGAGGUGUGGAACCAGCCGCACCCUGAGUGGGAUCCACACUUUCCUCUUAGCUGUGUAGCCGUAACAUAGGGUGACCAGCUGUCCUAGUUUGCAGGGGGCUGAGGGGUUUCCUGGGAUGCAGACUUUCAAUGCUAAACCCAGGACAGUCCUGGACAAACCGGGACAGUUGAUUACCUUACUUGGGCAAGACAUUUAGCCUCUCUUAGCCUUGGUUUCUUCAUCUGUGAAACGGGCCUAAUCAUACUUGUCUCAUGGGUUAUUUCAAGGAUUGGGGCUAUUGUACAAAAAGGGACUGAAGCUGUGUCUCAGAUCUACCUGAUGAUUUUGAUAGUAAUAUUAAUAUUAAUAAUUAUCUAUUUUUUUUAAGUCUCAAAGUGAUCUUUCACCAUCAUUCAUUUCGGCCAUCAAUGCUUUUCUCUUAAUUUCUAACAUCUGUUCAGGAAGGAGGGGUUGAUUUUGUUCUCUUUGUUCUUAUGUAAGCCUGGGUUUCUAAAACUAUGCUUUGCCCAAUUAAAAAAAAGCUACUGAAUUUUGCCUGACUCCUAACAUCUCUGAGUAGAGUCUAAGGGUAAUACACCAACUGAGAUUGAGAUUAUCUUUUAGAAACCCUGAGAAACCCGCUGAGGCCCCUAAAGUCUUCCUCUUUUGAUAUAAGACACACAGAUCUUACUAAGCCGCUUCUUUACCAGAUGAAGGUCUGAGGGGUUCCCGGUGUUGAAUGUUUGGGAGCUGAGGGUCUGCUCUGGAUCCUUCCCUACACAGGAGUGGAGGCCCAGGCCACCUGCCCACUUUAGACCACCCGCCCCAGAGCAAGCCCGUCCUCACUCUUUUGGGUUGGCCCUUCUGUCCAGAAAAAGGGUUGGAAACUGGGGAGGCACAUGGGGUAGGAGUGAGGAGAUGAAGUCUGGGUGACUUUGGAGAGGGGGUAAGAGGUUAAACCUGGGUGUGCACUCCAGUCCUUGUUCUGGGUCCGCCUGCCAUGGCUGAGCAAGGCCCUGAGCAUGUCCUUGUCCACGAUGAGGGUGUGGGCCUCUGCUCUCCCAUCUUCAGAGGUGAGUAGGGGUGAUGAAAUGGAGAAAUGAAUGCCAAAGAGUCACCAAAAGGAAGACAAACGAUAACAACACAGUGUGAGGGCAGUUUCUGGGCUCACGACCAUUUUAUUUUAUUGGUUCAGAAUAAACAGAGAGCUCAGCUCAGCCAGGGCUUACCAGCUUCCUUCUUCUAAGCUGCCUGAGAUGGCCAGGUGUCCAGGUAACAGGCUGCACCUGCCCUUGUGGACUUCCUGUCUGGAUGUUAUUACUAUUUUUCAGUUGUGGUGAAAAACACAUAGCAUCAUAUUCAGCAUAGUAACCACUUUUCAGUGCAUAGGUAAGUGAUAUUAAGUAGAUUCACGUUGUUGGGCCGUGUCUGGAUGCUAUUUUCUAUUUUUUGAUUCUUCAUCAGUUUUUAGUUUUAUUUUUUCUCUGGAUAUAAAAUGAAAAUAUUCUCAUUGAAGAAAAUUUAGAAAGUAUGGAAAAGUACACAUAAAGAAAAAGUAUCAUUAUGUCUCCAACCAGAAGCAACCACUUUAAAAAUAUUUUGGAAUGUAUUUCUUUCCGGGGCAUUUUUCAAUGUACUAUUUAAAAGGAUUAAUAUCUAAAAAUAUCUGAAUAAUUUAAUGGCUGUAUAUUAGUUUACUUAUGUAUAAACUAUGAUUGAUUUAAGUCUUCCUUUAGUUGGAUUUUAGAUUGAUCCAAUUUCACUAUUUUAAACAAUUGAGAUAUCUGACAAGAGAUUUUCACAUAUUGAGGUAUAUGGGGUAGCUAUUCUGGUCCAAAACUGAUUCGACUUGAACUAAGGAAGCCUGACUUCCAGCCUUCACACACACACUGUACGUCUGCUUUAGCCAUUAAAGUAAAGAAUUCAUGCUUUGGAGAAAAGAAUGCAGACUUCCCCGCCUGCGACGCCAGUAUGGGUAACGCCCACCAGUAUCGGUAAACGUGCUGUCAGUACUCCUAAAGAUAAGUUCCCUUUCCCAGACAUGAGGGUCAUGUUGACCUGCUGAUUUUCAACUGCCUAUAUCCUUGAAACUUUGAUGAAUAUGUAUCCCGGGCAUGUUUGAUGUGUGUUCUUUGUUCUAAAAAGGUAUAAAACUGUCCUGAAAACCAUGCUUCUCUGGAAUGCUUUCUUGGUUUGUGGAGACCGCCUGCCUGGGUUAUGAUCCUCAGCUUGGCUCCAGUAAAACCACCCUCUCUCUCCUAUCUAGAGAACGAUUAUUGGUAAUUUGCAUCAACAUUUCUUUGGGCAUAAAUAUUUAUGAUUAUUUCCUUAGGGGAAGUUCAAAACAGGGAAAUUGCUGGAUGAAAGGACAAAUAUUUUUAGCCUUCUCUUAUAUUAGAUAUAACUUUAUCUUUACUUUCCCCCAAAAUAUAAGUUAAAGAUAGGGCAAAAUAUGAUAUUUUCUAUGGAAGGGACUUAUGUUCCUUUUCUCCAAGCAAGACCCAAAUCUCCCUGGAAGGUUCUCUGAGGAAGUCUCUGGGUUCUUUUAGCAACUGUCUAUAGAAGGGGUGGCUGAGAGAUUUCAUCUUACUUGGUCAUUAGGUAGUAGCUGCAUUUAGUCUUGAGUAUUGUGGUGGUGUGCAGACUAAAACCCAUCACUGUGAGACCCUUUUGUUUUCACAUCAGAAUUAAACACUUUUGUUCCAGAAUGGGAUUUGCAUACAGCUGAAGCAUUUUAGUGAUAUUUUGUCUCCACAGUGUAGUAUCUUGUAUGGGGGACUGGAAUUGGCCACCCUAAGAUAUCAGGAAAGAGAUGCCUCCUUUUGGCAAGAUUCCCUAGCUGAAGGAUGGCAUAUGCCUAGAAAUAUGAGCAGCCAUCACUAUCCUGUGGGGACAACUUGCCUGAGAAGCAAACCAACAGAGAGGAAAGCAAAACUGAGAAGAGGGCAGAAAAAGGGACACUUUCCGGCUGGUGACACAAAGAAGAGCUGCAGUGGAGAGCCCUGGAGACGCUGGGAGAGUCUGGCUGGAAUUAGCAGAUGCCAGCGGAAGCAGAAAGGCAUGGUUUCCACAAACUGAAAUCACUUUGGUCAGGUUCCCCAUAGAAGAGAAGGUUCCUGAACCUUUAGUCAUAAAGUUCUUCCAUAUCCCUGGGCUGUCAUGCUGGCUGCAAAUUACACAUUAGGAUGGACUCGCAUCAAACAUCUGAUUGGUCGGGGAGGGGAGACUCACUUGGUUUCCUCGGGCGCCAGGCCCCGGCAGGCGACGCACAUCAUCACGCCUCCAAUGAGCGUGAGGCCUCCAGCGACCCAGCCCACAAACAGAGCCGAACCGAAGGUGUACCUGAGCGGGGAGACGGUGGCUGUGAAUGUGGGUGACUCAACUCCCCAGGUUCCCCACACGGCACCUGGCCAUGCCCAUCCUUUCUGGAUUCCACAUCUAUCCCCACCCACGCCCCCGAAACAUACACUCCUUUGGGUCACAGGCAACGUUCUCAGGUGCCCUGGAGGAUGGACUUGGGACUGAAGCUAAUCAGCGAAACAGCAGGAGAUUCUUGGGCCCCUAGCAUCACUCAGGCAGAGAAAUACCUGUUAGUGUCUAAUCCCAGAGAAACACCUCAGGAAAGCCCCCUCCUCCCUACUGGCAAAGGGGAGUGUCUCGAAGGUUUGGCCAGAAAAGUUCGAGAGAUAUGGACUAUCUCCAGUUAUUAUUUCUGAAGGAGUUUUGGUCCUUUGAGUUCUUACUUUGGGCCAAGAAGCUUUCGUCUUAUCUAACUCAAGGAACCCCGGCAACCACCCACUCAGGCAGGAGUGAAAGUUUGGAGUCAAGACAACUCGGAGGUGUAAUUCAUGCCCCAUAGCUCCUCAGGAUCAGGCGGAGUGCAAGGCUUAAUCUGAAAGCAUGCCCUUCCCUGUCCUGCUUGCCCCCUCCCCAUCCAGUCUCCCCUUCUCUAGUAAAUCACUUACACACGGAUCCUCAGGAUCUGUUUCUGAGUAACCCAACCUCUGGCACUUCUAAUUUUUAAAAGUUGAUGAUUAAUUCAGGUUAUAAAAUGAAAGGCUAACACAAAACACCUCACAAGCCGUGUAUCGUGUGAAGGCAGGAGCUUUGUGCUCUGGUCCAGGGCUUAGACUCUGCCAAUGUUUUACUCAAUGCAGCAAUGGCAGAGGAGGGGAUCCUGGGACCGAAUGGGGAACCAGAACCAAAGCCCCAUCAAUUGGCUGCCAAGAUCUUUCUUGGUAGCUAUGCUGUCUUGUGUGAAUUCUGGGUAGAACAGAUGAGAAGACAGAAAGAAGGGGGGAAACCACAGCCCAUCCGUGGAUAAAGAUGUUCUGGAGGCCUUUCAGAAUCCUGUAAUUUCAGUCUCAGGACUGAAGUUGCCUGCCCCAGGGACAGGGGCAGGUUCCAGGGAGAUGGCAGGAGAGAGUGACGACAGGCAUUAGUGCUGGGUGCCAGGUGGGUGGGUGACUCUUCUGGUCAGGAGCAGUGACACUAGGUACCCAGAUACUUUGGACAAGGUGGGCUUUUCUAUGUAGGAUGACAACCAUCCUGAUUUGUCUGUGACAGAGGAGUUUCCCAGGAUGUGGGACUUUCAAUGCUAAAGCUGGGAAAGUCCCAGGAAAACCAGGACGAGUUGGUCAGGGUACUUCUAAGUUGCCCUUGUAAGCAAGAGACCAUGGGAAGGCCAUGGAGAAGGAUGAGGGCAGCUUGUGGGGAUCACUUCCUUCCCAUUCUUGAAAUAAAGCAGGAACAAGGAUGGGGAUUAGAGUUCCAGGGAGCCAGAGAGUAAUGGAUUUAUAUAUCCUCACACCCUGCCUGUAUCCCAUGAUGGUGUGGCUGGAGAAAUACCAAGUGGAUCCAUUCCGCAGACAACGAGUCACUAAGGUAUAAUAUUUACAUUGUUGUCCCAGAACAAGAUCUUUCUCCUUCAGGAAUUUGCUGCUGCUUCUGGCUAUGAAAUAUGUUCCUUUGAAGUGGCUAAAUGAAUACGGGUGUGGAAUUCCUCUUCCAUUUUUUAAAAGUUCUACCCUUCUUCAGACACCAAAUUAUAGUGGGGUUUUAUCUCCCUCUCCUCGACUGUAACCUCCAUGAGAAUGGGGACCUUCUCUUUAUCCCCAGCACUCGGGACAGUUCCUGGCCCACAGCAGGUGCUCAAUAAAUUUGUAAAAUGAAUGAAUUAAUGAAUGAGAGAAAAAAGCAGCUGUACAAGGAAGAAACAUUACUUUCCUCACCUAAACUACACCUUGCUCAUUUCUAUUCCAGCUUUUACCUGUCCCUAGCCAGGUUCCUGUCAUGGACUGGAGAUGCGGGUUGAUACUCAUUUACAUGCCUGGGUUAACAGUGCCUGUUUCAUUGCCACCACAAUGGGGCCUGUGUAAGAGUGUUAGAUAAAUACUGUGAACUGUCGCUGUAUUUCAAUGCAAAUGUCAGAUCAGCCCCAAGUCAUAUCACUGAGGAUAUUUCACUGAAAUGAAGUUUAUGAAUUUACAGAUCAUUGUUGAUUUAUGAUAUGGCAUGGUUGUCUCUGAUAAAUUUUUGCUAUUUCAGGCACUGACAAUCACAUUAGGCAUAUGUAUUUAAUCGGAUUUUUACAACAAUAUUCCCCAUGGAAUACGGAGACUAGAUUAGGAGGUUACCUGGUCUGAACAGUCUGCACCAUCCCACCCAUGCCGGUGUACAUGUUAGCUGUAGACAUCCAGAAGUUAGUAACCAGCAUGUUGGCAAACACAGACACUCCAGCGAUUGCACAAAUACCUGUGGGCAAAGAAUAAGAAAGCUCCAGAGUCAGUUUUAAAGAGAUCACCAUGUUUCUGAGGCAGCGUGUGCGUAAAUGAGUGUAGAGGAGCAGGCUGCAGAAUAUCCUGUUCCCAUAACAGAGUGGUCAAUCCAAGCACUGAUUAUUGAAGUCCCACUAUGUGCUAGAUGUUAUAUUAGGUGCUUAGACUCUCUUAUCUCCCUAAUUGUGGAAGGAUUUACAUGUGCACAGAAAGAGAUUUUUCUACGGAUUUUGGGACUGGGGGUCAAUAGUACAAAUAUUUUGGGCCUGGUCCUUUGACUAUGUUAAGAGCUCUUCCCUUAAAAUCAUUUUCUAGAGUCUUACCAAAAUAAUGCCUUUGGGGAUUGAGUCACAUGACUACCCUAGGGUUGAGAGUCUCUUAUAACGGGGUGGGGUUGGCAGCUGAGAGGAGCUUUAGCACUUGUGAUAAUUCCGUAGAGUGUAAUGGGGCCUUAAUCUCAGAUUUUGAAUCCCAGUGUGUAAAGCUCUGAUCCAUGUUCAGAUCACACUCAGUAGAGAGAACCGUGUUUCCUCUACCAGAAAGAUUUUGCUUUGACAUUCCCAGCAGCAUAUUUGAGAGGGGGAACCCCAGGCUCCUUGUUCACCUGAGAUGAUGAACAUGAUCCCAGACGUCAGUGUCAUGUUGGCCUUGGCAGAGUCCUCCAUGUUGCCAAUGCGGAUGCACUUCAGGGCAAAGAUGGACACCAGGAGGCCAAUGGCACCCAGGACAAUGCCCACGACCAUCAGGGCUCGCACUGCCUGCAGCAUGGCUGCAAGACAAGGGGCAAGAGACAAGCAGACAAAUAAGACCACUUGAACAAAGCUUUGUUAAUAAAACACUGCAACCACAACCAACUAGCACCAAACUGCUGAGAAAUAGCAAUUCCAUAAACUGUGAACCUUGUCGUUGUCAGGGGAUGUGGAAUUGUGGGAAAUGCAAAACUAUUGCUUACAAUCAUCUAAUUGAUGGAGGACACGCAUGUGAAUGUAGAAUGAGACAAUUAGGGACUGCUGGAGCUGGGAGGGCCAAUGGAAUUUAACUAUUUUAUUUCCCCAUUUUAAAGCUUGAUAAUCUGGGGCUCAGGAAGGGGAAAUGGCCUGAUUAAGGUGACAUUAAAAAUUACUGAUAGAACUUGGAGUAAAACUAUCUUGCUUUGACUUCUAACCCAAACGUCUUUCUUCUCUGGUCUUUCCAUAUAGGCUCAAUGCUUCAUAUAGUUGGGUCUGCUUUAGGAAAACGCAGUGUUCAUUUAUAGCAUAUAAUAAAGCAAGGUCACUAGGUGAUA